AGGGGUAUAGCUCAGUGGUAGAGCAGGUGCUUGGCAUGCACAUGCUCCCGGGUUCACUCCCCAGUGCCUCUG
This 72-nucleotide transfer RNA is filed under the name Camelus bactrianus (Bactrian camel). It matches the Rfam family "tRNA". From Rfam's summary of the family: Transfer RNA (tRNA) molecules are approximately 80 nucleotides in length. Their secondary structure includes four short double-helical elements and three loops (D, anti-codon, and T loops). RNAcentral also lists the same sequence under 1 other name. Lineage: Eukaryota; Metazoa; Chordata; Mammalia; Artiodactyla; Camelidae. The record is from Rfam by way of RNAcentral.